CUGACUCAAUAGAUCUCCUUAUGCUGUCACUGUGUCUUCAAAACUGUCAUCAACAACGAUACUGAAUGAAGUUGACGAGACCUUAUUUGAUGUAGCUUACAACUCCGUAGGUGCUCUUGGCCCUCACCUGUAGCCUGCAAGAGGUCAGAGAGAAGACUGGUUUGUUAUCCCAGGUGUGAAUCAAGUGAAGGUCUGACUGCAUGCCCUCCAUCUGGCACUAGAAAGCCAGCUUCACUGUGUACAAGGAACACAGUCUUGUCCAACGCAGCCUGAAACAAAAACAACAACAACAAGAGAAAAGCAAGAGAAGAACAAGAAUCUGUCACAGCCAAGAGGUGCCUAAGGAGACCUGAGCACUAUAGGCAACGUGGUGCCCUGGAUUAAAUUCUGGGACAGGAUAAGUAUACUAGAGAAAAAACUGAUGAAACUCCAAUAAAGUCUGUAAUUU
Nycticebus coucang (slow loris) is the source of this 448-nucleotide long non-coding RNA. RefSeq lists it as uncharacterized. The transcript has 3 exons. Lineage: Eukaryota; Metazoa; Chordata; Mammalia; Primates; Lorisidae. The record is from RefSeq and is a predicted model, not a curated record.